This 235-nucleotide ribosomal RNA is filed under the name uncultured bacterium. RNAcentral describes it as "partial 16S ribosomal RNA". It matches the Rfam family "Bacterial small subunit ribosomal RNA", at positions 96 to 334 of the family's 1533-position model. The record is from RNAcentral.
CGGCGGACGGGUGAGUAAUGUCUGGGAAACUGCCCGAUGGAGGGGGAUAACUACUGGAAACGGUAGCUAAUACCGCAUAAUGUCUACGGACCAAAGCGGGGGACCUCCGGGCCUCGCGCCAUCAGAUGAACCCAUAUGGGAUUAGCUAGUAGGUGAGGUAACGGCUCACCUAGGCGACGAUCCCUAGCUGGUCUGAGAGGAUGACCAGCCACACUGGAACUGAGACACGGUCCAG